RNAcentral lists this ribosomal RNA (253 nucleotides) under uncultured bacterium. Its description in RNAcentral is "partial 16S ribosomal RNA". It matches the Rfam family "Bacterial small subunit ribosomal RNA", at positions 524 to 776 of the family's 1533-position model. The record is from RNAcentral.
UACGGGGGGGGCAAGCGUUGUUCGGAAUUACUGGGCGUAAAGGGCUCGUAGGCGGCCAACUAAGUCAGACGUGAAAUCCCCAGGCUCAACUUGGGAACUGCGUCUGAUACUGGAUGGCUUGAAUCCGGGAGAGGGAUGCAGAAUUCCAGGUGUAGCGGUGAAAUGCGUAGAUAUCUGGAGGAACACCGGUGGCGAAGGCGGCAUCCUGGACCGGCAUUGACGCUGAGGCGCGAAAGCCAGGGGAGCAAACGGG